GAUGAAGAACGCAGCGAAAUGCGAUAAGUAGUGUGAAUUGCAGAAUUCAGUGAAUCAUCGAAUCUUUGAACGCACAUUGCGCCCCUUGGUAUCCCGAGGGGCAUGCCUGUUCGAGCGUCAUUUCACCACUCAAGCCUGGCUUGGUGUUGGGCGACGUCCUCUUUGGGGACGCGCCUCGAAACGCUCGGCGGCGUGGCACCGGCUUUAAGCGUAGCAGAAUCUUUCGCUUUGGAAGUCGGGGCCCCGGCUGCCGGAAGACCUGCUCGCAAGGUUGACCUCGGAUCAGGCAGGGAUACCCGCUGAACUUAAGCAUAUCAAUAAGCGGAGGA
Molecule: unclassified non-coding RNA, 329 nt
Filed under: soil metagenome
Description: partial contains 5.8S ribosomal RNA, internal transcribed spacer 2, and large subunit ribosomal RNA
Rfam family: 5.8S ribosomal RNA (bases 1-120)
Source: RNAcentral